AAACUUUAAUAGUUAAAACUUUCAACAACGGAUUCUCCUUGGUUCUGGGCAUCGAUGAA
RNAcentral lists this ribosomal RNA (59 nucleotides) under Capnobotryella sp. MA 4674. Its description in RNAcentral is "partial 5.8S ribosomal RNA". The record is from RNAcentral. Lineage: Eukaryota; Fungi; Ascomycota; Dothideomycetes; Mycosphaerellales; Teratosphaeriaceae.